AACUUUUCCUAUGAACUCUUCUCUAAAGCAGGUCACAGGGAAAAAAAGGGUUUAAAGAGAAAUAACUUCUCCGGGCAAAAACUGAGGUUAGCGGGCCUAUCAGCUGUUUCUUCUCACUCCACCACUGCUGCUGACUGGAGGAGCAGCCUGGAAAGCAGCCGCCCUCCCGCAAACAGAGCUCCAGCUCCAAAUCUGUGAGAGUGCAUUUGGCAGAAUCUGAACAAGCAACACAAUGAUUAGAGGGUUUUUGUUUUUUUGUUUGUUUUUAACAGUUUUGUUACAAUGUUUCCACCCCAAAAUGUACCUGGUACCAAAUAUACUCCCUGGAAUCUUCACUACGAUCAAGAUAAUGAACCUAUUCAUCACCCCCAGAAGUUUCCUCGUGCCCCUUUGUAUUACUUUUGUUUGUAAUAGAUGUACAUAGAAGCAAACAAGCAAUCCAUCAACAACAACAACAACAACAAAAUCUAUUUUUCAAAAAAGCAUUUUAUGACUUUUCUGAAAUCUAAUGCACUUUUGUGCAGUUAAGAAUUUAAUAUUCUGCCUUUCAUUCUUGGCAAAACUUCUUGAAAAGGUGAUACAUUUGUCCCUGAUUUUGAUAAAAUGACUUCAAUUGCAGGAGACAGUAUUCAUGUAGGAUGCAGACGGCCCCUUAAUGUCAGUGUAGUCCAGUAGAGAACAUAAUAAGGCUCAGUACUGUGUGUACAGCUUUCAUCUUCAGCCAUGAAGCAAAAUUAAACAAGUAGUUCAUCAUUUCAGGCACUCCUUCUGCACCUUAGGUACCAAGAUGUUUUGUUCAAUUGAAUUUUUACUCAACAAAUAAACGUUUUACCAUUUCAAAUGUCCUGGCAGCCUUUAGAAUUUUCAAAAAGUGUUCAUAAACUAGGAAUUUUUCUUGGAUGUCAUCAGUGUGAAUAUACUGGAUAAAAACCAGGAAUCUGGAAGCACAGAGGAAUAUUAGGAUCAAAUUACAUCCUGAAGAUAAAGGGAAUAAUUGUCAAUUCCUCUGUAUCCUACUUCAAAACAUAAGAAGACCAACAAUUCUGGACUGGAUAAAAUCAUUUGUCAGAGGUGUCACCUUACUUUUUCCCCUCUUCUCCAAGACAAAACCAGUUCCAUCAUUUCCAGGGUACUUGGUUUUACCAUGGUCCCCAUAGCUGUGAGGGUCUUCUUUUUGUUUGGAUUUGAGAUAGGCAAAUUUGGAAGAUGCUUUUAGAUAAGGAUUGUGUGUUAGAAACUAAUUCAACUUUGCUAAAAUUAUCUAGUGUUUGCACAAUGAAUCUCCUUUUUCACAGAUUUGUGCUAAUGUAUUGUUAGGAUGUACAGCUGUAAGGUCAACUUUACAAUCCUUGUGUUUCAUAACACAUAACAAUGUGAUGCAUUUCCUUGAAUGCCUUUACGUUGGUCUUGAAACCGUCUUGAGGCAGGAAUCAGCAAUCUGUCCUACCCCCUAAAAUGAAACUAACUUUAAACCCCUUGUCAAAGAAAGACUAUUUCUGUGUCUUUUUCUUCUCUUUCUUUACUCUAUUUUUUCUUAGCAAUUAGCCUAUUUAUCUCAAAUUGUGUUCUCCACUUAGCAAAACAAAACAAAAAAAUCUUAUCUGCAAAACUAUAGUCUGAGAGAAGUAUAAAUCACAGCAGUGUGACAAGAAGCAGGCAUGUCGAGGAUUGCUGGCACCAUUCUCUUUGCAGUUGUACGAUCUUUAACAUGAGAAGGAAAAAAAAAGUGCUACUGGAGACCAGGUUCCACCAAAAUGAUGGAAAACACCAAAAAAGCAGAAAAUCUUGAAAUUCAUGAGAUGUAUAAUCUAAAUUAGGAGAUAAGCAAAGGGAAUUCCUACAACAAUUAGGAGGUGAUGGUGCAAGACAUUACUGGUGCAAUUUAUUUCUACUCCAGAUAAAAGCAGAAUAAAAGUUCUCAGAAGGGAAGUCUUCAAAAAUAAAACAUGAAAACAGAGAACUUAUGUCUGAUGAAAUAUUAUUCUGACAACUGGCAAGUGUGUGAAAAUUAGCAAUAAAUAUAAGUAAAAAUGAAAUAAAUGAAAACAGGCAGGAAUCAGAGAUGCCAGGUGGCCUAGAUAGGGAUUCCCGAUUAUGGCAAAGUGAAGAGGCUGGCAAAUAUUCUCCCACUAAAAUAAGUAUGAAACUGGACACAUUUAAGUAUAAACAGACAAACCACACAUAUUUCAGGUCUCUGGAAAUUAAACAAAUACAAACAACAAAUUGAGAAUUUAUUAAUUAAAAAAAAUCACUGAACUUCAGUUAAGCACGAUGGAAGUCUGUGCCAUUCUUGUCUAGGGCGAUUUCCAUCCAAUCCUUCAGUCAUUUGGCAUGACGGUUCUGUCUGGUGGGGCUAGUCAUAAAACUAUUAAGAGCAGCUUUGCUGCUGCAGAGGCUGACUUGAUUUGGAGUGCAGAGCAAAAAACUCCCAUAUCCAAAUAGGAAAAGAAUAAUGAAAGCCAUAAUACUACAAUACAAGCCUGAAGUUGUUAUCCUUGGUGGGGUGAGCAACAGAACCGAGAGCACCGUAGAAGAGCUAGCUGAGGUCUUCACAACACAUCACUGGCAGACUGGAAGGCCAUGCAUAUGUACAGAGAAGACCUGUAAGGACACUGCAGGAAGUAAAAGUCUGAUAUGUGGAUGUGCUCCCAUUGCACAAACAGAUCCAUCAAUGGGGUAUAAGCCCUACUGGCUCAAGGUGCUGGAGCACAACAUCUGGCUAGUCUUGGGCUGACCACUAAGCUAUACAUACUCUGUUGAUCCCCAAUUUAGUCUGAUGGAGAAAAAGCAAGAGAAGACACUAAUUAUUGUAGCAAAUUCAAGAAUAAAAGCACAUCACUACCACCCCUCAAAAAUUAAAAUAAUUGUAAGAAAAUAUUAUCAGUUAUGUAAUGGCCUUCUUUGUCUCUUUUGAUCUUUGUUAGUUUAAAGUCUGUUUUAUCAGAGACUAGGAUUGCAACCCCUGCCUUUUUUUGUUUUCCAUUUGCUUGGUAGCUCUUCCUCCAUCC
This 3008-nucleotide long non-coding RNA is filed under the name Homo sapiens (human). Its description in RNAcentral is "non-protein coding LINC01829:30". The record is from RNAcentral. Lineage: Eukaryota; Metazoa; Chordata; Mammalia; Primates; Hominidae.